UUGAUUGGUGCUUGCAUCAUGAUUUACAUUUGAGUGAGUGGCGAACUGGUGAGUAACACGUGGGAAACCUGCCCAGAAGCGGGGGAUAACACCUGGAAACAGAUGCUAAUACCGCAUAACAACUUGGACCGCAUGGUCCGAGCUUGAAAGAUGGCUUCGGCUAUCACUUUUGGAUGGUCCCGCGGCGUAUUAGCUAGAUGGUGGGGUAACGGCUCACCAUGGCAAUGAUACGUAGCCGACCUGAGAGGGUAAUCGGCCACAUUGGGACUGAGACACGGCCCAAACUCCUACGGGAGGCAGCAGUAGGGAAUCUUCCACAAUGGACGAAAGUCUGAUGGAGCAACGCCGCGUGAGUGAAGAAGGGUUUCGGCUCGUAAAACUCUGUUGUUAAAGAAGAACAUAUCUGAGAGUAACUGUUCAGGUAUUGACGGUAUUUAACCAGAAAGCCACGGCUAACUACGUGCCAGCAGCCGCGGUAAUACGUAGGUGGCAAGCGUUGUCCGGAUUUAUUGGGCGUAAAGCGAGCGCAGGCGGUUUUUUAAGUCUGAUGUGAAAGCCUUCGGCUCAACCGAAGAAGUGCAUCGGAAACUGGGAAACUUGAGUGCAGAAGAGGACAGUGGAACUCCAUGUGUAGCGGUGAAAUGCGUAGAUAUAUGGAAGAACACCAGUGGCGAAGGCGGCUGUCUGGUCUGUAACUGACGCUGAGGCUCGAAAGUAUGGGUAGCAAACAGGAUUAGAUACCCUGGUAGUCCAUACCGUAAACGAUGAAUGCUAAGUGUUGGAGGGUUUCCGCCCUUCAGUGCUGCAGCUAACGCAUUAAGCAUUCCGCCUGGGGAGUACGGCCGCAAGGCUGAAACUCAAAGGAAUUGACGGGGGCCCGCACAAGCGGUGGAGCAUGUGGUUUAAUUCGAAGCUACGCGAAGAACCUUACCAGGUCUUGACAUACUAUGCAAAUCUAAGAGAUUAGACGUUCCCUUCGGGGACAUGGAUACAGGUGGUGCAUGGUUGUCGUCAGCUCGUGUCGUGAGAUGUUGGGUUAAGUCCCGCAACGAGCGCAACCCUUAUUAUCAGUUGCCAGCAUUAAGUUGGGCACUCUGGUGAGACUGCCGGUGACAAACCGGAGGAAGGUGGGGAUGACGUCAAAUCAUCAUGCCCCUUAUGACCUGGGCUACACACGUGCUACAAUGGAUGGUACAACGAGUUGCGAACUCGCGAGAGUAAGCUAAUCUCUUAAAGCCAUUCUCAGUUCGGAUUGUAGGCUGCAACUCGCCUACAUGAAGUCGGAAUCGCUAGUAAUCGCGGAUCAGCAUGCCGCGGUGAAUACGUUCCCGGGCCUUGUACACACCGCCCGUCACACCAUGAGAGUUUGUAACACCCAAAGUCGGU
RNAcentral lists this ribosomal RNA (1386 nucleotides) under Lactiplantibacillus plantarum. RNAcentral's name for it is "bacterial SSU rRNA". It matches the Rfam family "Bacterial small subunit ribosomal RNA", at positions 69 to 1431 of the family's 1533-position model. Lineage: Bacteria; Bacillati; Bacillota; Bacilli; Lactobacillales; Lactobacillaceae. The record is from RNAcentral.